UAACGCGUGGGAAUCUGCCCUCAGGUGGGGAAUAACGACGGGAAACUGUCGCUAAUACCGCAUACGCCCUUCGGGGGAAAGAUUUAUCGCCGAUAGAUGUGCCCGCGUACGAUUAGCUAGUUGGUGAGGUAAUGGCUCACCAAGGCUACGAUCGUUAGCUGGUCUGAGAGGAUGAUCAGCCACACUGGGACUGAGACACGGCCCAGACUCCUACGGGAGGCAGCAGUGGGGAAUAUUGGACAAUGGGCGAAAGCCUGAUCCAGCAAUGCCGCGUGAGUGAUGAAGGCCUUAGGGUUGU
RNAcentral lists this ribosomal RNA (298 nucleotides) under uncultured Sphingomonadaceae bacterium. RNAcentral's name for it is "partial 16S ribosomal RNA". It matches the Rfam family "Bacterial small subunit ribosomal RNA", at positions 111 to 426 of the family's 1533-position model. Lineage: Bacteria; Pseudomonadati; Pseudomonadota; Alphaproteobacteria; Sphingomonadales; Sphingomonadaceae. The record is from RNAcentral.